UCCCUGGAAGACUAAUGGUAAGGCCUUGGCGCUCUCACCUCCGCAGCCUGGGUUCAGUUCCCGGCCAGGGAA
This is a non-coding RNA of Pangasius djambal, 72 nucleotides long. The record is from the annotation of a GenBank genome assembly. Lineage: Eukaryota; Metazoa; Chordata; Actinopteri; Siluriformes; Pangasiidae.